GAUGAAGGAUCAGCAAGGUCUCCAGAGCCUGGAAACUGAUCUUCAGGGGGCUGACUUCAAACUUAAACUGAUGAACCAUUUGAGCCUAAUUAGGGGAUGCGACGUGAAAGAUGCUGUGUGGCGUUUAAUGAGGCGCACAAUUUCCAACACGCUGGCAAAAAAAACAUGAAUUGAAGAGGAGUAAAUAGAAAAAUCCCUCUUGCAUCCCUUUCUACUGAGCUGUUGUCCGGAAGAAAUCGUUAACAUAUAGAGCGUCUGAAAGCGAUGUGGAGUCGGCCAUGAAAAAGUGGUUGCAGCUGGCAGCAUACCGGGAAGGAGUGUGGUGGCCCCUGUGCCAUGAUGGACUUGGGAAAUGGGUGUAUUUAAGUGAUAAUGCCCAAGAAGAUAGAUUAUGUAGAUUAUAUACGUCAAGGGCCAGCAAACCGUGCCAAUAUAACCUCCAACAGCUUGGAGGGCAUUAUCACUUUUAUACAACGGUUACCGACAUAUUCAAAUAAUGAUUGACUUAUUUUCAUUAAAAACGUUAUUUUUGA
Molecule: long non-coding RNA, 533 nt
Organism: Oncorhynchus nerka (sockeye salmon)
Lineage: Eukaryota; Metazoa; Chordata; Actinopteri; Salmoniformes; Salmonidae
Exons: 3
Source: RefSeq, a predicted model, not a curated record